This 3913-nucleotide long non-coding RNA is filed under the name Mustela putorius furo (domestic ferret). RNAcentral describes it as "lncRNA (ENSMPUG00000025006.1)". The record is from RNAcentral. Lineage: Eukaryota; Metazoa; Chordata; Mammalia; Carnivora; Mustelidae.
AUGUUCUUCUGUGCAUCAAUUUGUGCCCUUUUUAAGAGACCAAAUUACAACUGCUGUGAUUGCCAUACAAAAGGAAACUGCAGUCAAGAAUGUGGAUACCAGAUGAGAGGACAAACAGGUCCAGCUUCAUUAUCAGUGGCGCAAGACCUUACUUACAUAAAGGUCCUUUCAUAUUCCUCAUUAAAGGAUGCCAGCCUUUUACCUCAUCCACAACACUCUCUCCUAUGUCUGGUUUGAUUCUAAUUGGGAGUCUUUUUGAGCCAAGUAUUUUGUAUAGGGUUAUCAAUAUAUAGAACCAUAUGACAGUAUCAUGUUAACUCUCCAAAAUUUUAGAAAUCACAUUUUUAAUGAGGUUUCCCUUAUUUAGUGACACAGAGGGAACAUGAAAGACCAUCCUUCCAUUUCCUCUUUCCUUCAACACCAAAUAAAGAACUCCGUUUUGUGUUUGUCUCCACAAAUGUAGAUUUCUAAAUCCUUGGACGGCAGCUCAGUUGUGAAUCCCCUUAAGUUCAAAUGUAGAGUCACAUGUCAAGUACCUAUAGCAACAGCCCUCAUUUAUAUUCCUUCUGCCCUCAAUGGGGACAGUUCCAUGGUCCUAAAUUCUGGGUCAGUCAUGUUGCUGGUCCUAAUUAUGAAUUUCAAUAAAAUUUUCAUAAAAUGAGAUUUAAGUGCCACAGGUUCAUCAUCUACAUAUUGAAAUUCCAAUAUAUGCCACGAAUUGUGCAAGGCACCUGAAUUAGAAAAUGAAUAAUACUACAUAUUUCUGUUAAUGGUCAUUUUCAAGUUAAUUUUUAUGUAUGGAAAGAAGGAAUAACCAUUUUCAUUAAAAGACCAUCCUUUCCUCAAUGUCUAUGUGUCGAUAUAUUUAUAUAUUCUAUAGUCUAUCCUAUUGGUAGAAUUUUUGAUCCUGGAACUAAUCCCAUACUCUAUUAACUUCUCUAACUUUAUGAUGAAUUCUAAAAUCUAAUAACAUGUUCUUCUUAAAGACUAUUCUAGCUAUGCUACAUCCUUUGAAUUUCUUUGUAUACACUAAAAUUACAUCAAAAUGUAAAAAAGUGCUUAGAUAAAAAUUAGAAUAAUAAUAAUAAUAAUAACAAAUCUAUAGAUAAAGUACAUUCUCCAUUUAUUCAUUAAAUUCUCUAAGUAAUGUUUUAAAGCAUUCAAUAUAGAAUGUCUCACACAUACAUUAAAUUCACUCCUGGGCAGUCUAUGUUUUUUAUGCUACUGUAUACGGUUUCUUAAAUUUUCAUCUUUCUUAAGUCUGUAGAUUGAUGUAUUUCAUUAGAUUGGAAAUGAGGCUCAAGCACUAUUUUUCUGGCAAUUGCUGCUGUCCUGUUCUCUCUCUUCUCUUUCUGAGAUCUUAAUCAUUAGUAUUUUUGUCUCUCUUGGAUGCAUAAAACAUCUUUUACAAUAUAUUUUUCUUUUUCUUCUACCUUUUUUUUUUAAAUCUUACGCUUCAGUGUGUAUGUUUUCCAAUAGCCUGAUAAGAGUUCACUAAUUCUGUCUUCUGCUGUAUCUAGAUUUCAGGUAAUCUGCAUCCAAUGAAGUUUUAAUUUCCCAUACUGCAUUUUUCAGUUCUAAAAUGCCCAUUUGAUUUUUUACACAUAUUUAAAUUUUAAACAGUAUCAUCAUGUGUAAGACAAGUUAGGUCAAGUUUGCAUUGUUCCAAGCUCUACUCCUUUACCUAACUUUACUGAUCCUUUUGAGCGCUCAUCUUGUAUCUUAGUGUAGAUAUCUUAGGAUAGAUACAUAUCUUAGUAUAGGUACAACUAUACUAAGAGCUAAAACUCUAUCCUUUGGGUAUUUUUUCCCUUUGUUUAGAAGUAUAACACCAACCUUAGCCUUGUUGUGUCGAUUCACUAAGCUUCACUAUCUCUUUCUGGUGUCCUUUAAUCCAGCCCGCACCUUUGUAAAUAUCUCCUUUAUUAACUAUUCUCCUUAUAAUCAUUUUUCUGUGUGUUAUCUUUCUCUUGCAGGAAUGUUGUCUGAUUCAUAAUGCUAGUGGAAAAAAAGGAAAACUAUGAAAAUGUAGUAUAUUUAAAUACCGAAAGUAUUUUCGAAACAGUAUCUUACCAAGAAUGCAAUUUAGGAGAAGCAAUGAAAUAGUAUGAAAAAUUAAUUAUUUUGAAGUAUCUGCAUGGGCUGUUUCUCAGAUGAAAAGUAGAUGGAACAAGUUUAAUCAUCUUAAAAAAGCAUCACAUGUUUCUCAAAAGAUUUCCAUACAUUAGUCUAACAUAAUAGUGCAUAUACAAUUUGGUAGGAAUUAAAUAUUUAUAUGAGGAUACCAGAGGAAAUGCCUUAAAAACAAAGUGGAGUCCAUGCUAUUUCUGAUCAAGUCCUUAUACUGUAAAUUAUUAUCACUGAACUUUUAUCACUCUACUUGCAGCCAUGGUCAAGACACCAAAGACCAUUCAAGGGAAAAGAAGUUGCAAAAUAGCUAACUUAAGUACAAAACCCUGACUAUUUUCCCUAGUUUCUCUUUAUCUUCCCUCCAUUUCUUUUCUCAAAACAUUCUAUCCAUAUUCUAUGACCAAAUCCACCUGAAUUCUACCACUGAAUAUUAAUAUCAACAAGUUAGGGAAAAUGAACAUUUUUUUUUUUUAUCAUUCAGUUUAUGGGAACUCCAUCUUCCAGUUGUUUUGUCUCAAAACCUUAUGGCCAUCUUUGAUUCUUAUCUUGGCCUCCUAUCCUAUCCAUCAACAAAAUCCUAUCCUAUCCAUCCACAAAUCCUCUCCAUCAACAAAAACUCUUAGUUCUGACUUUGAAACAUAAAACCUGACUAAGCACCUCCUUCACUGCUCCACCCUACUGUGAACUAUCUUCUUCUCUCACUUAAAUUAUUACAGUAGUCUAAUUGGUAUUAUUAAUUCUAUCUGGCCUCUAUCAAAGUCUCUUCCUAACACAGUGGCCAGAUAAUCCUUUCACAAGUAAAGCAUACUAUGUCACACUUACUCUCAAAACUCUACAAUGGUUCCUCUGUUCACUCAAAGUAAACCCCACAGUCUAUAAUUGCCUAAAAGGCUCUGUACAAUCGUGUUCCCAUUACUUCUUUAAAAUUAUUGUUUACUAAUUUCCAACAGUUUCCCUCUCUUCUCGUCAAACUGGCCUCCAUGCUUCUCCUCAAAUGCAGCAGGCAUGAUGCCACCUCAACACGAACUGUUCUCACUGUCCCAUAUGAUCAACUACCCACAAGCCAUAAGACAAAUUUGAUGUAUUUGCUCAAAUGUCAGCUUUUCAAUGAGGCCUGUCCAGACCUCCAAUUUAAUAUUGGCUAGAUGUCUCUCAUCCCAUUAUUUCCUAUUCCCUCUCUUUUCUAACUUUUUGUUCCACCAGGGUCAUUGCCUUGUAAUUUUCUAUAUCAGUUAUGCACUGUAUUCAUUAUUUCCUGUGACUUAACUGCAAUGACUGGCACUAAUCAAAUGUUCAAUAAAUAUCUGUUCAAUAAACUGAUGAAUUAAUACAUUCAACCCAUGUGUACUGAGUGCCUUCGGAAUUUUUUUCUUAAAGAUUUUUAUUUAUUUGAUGCACACAGAGAGAGCACAAGCAGGGGGAGCAACAGGCAGAGGGAAAGGGAGAAGCAGGCUCCCCUGCAGAGCAGGGAGCCUGAUGCAGGGUUCAAUCCCAAAACCCUGGGAUCAUGACCCAAGCCAAAGGUAGUUGCUUAACCAACUGAGCUACCCAGGUGCCCCAGAAUGUUUUUUCAAUAAACAUUUAUUCUGUAGAUUAACUACAAAGUCUAAGUGAUAUGGAAAUCAUAAUAUAUGACUUUAUCACACACAAAAAUAAUUUUUAAUUUCGAGUAAAUCCUCUUCAAAUGUUUCUGUACAUAUAUUUCAAAUAUUUAAAAAAUAAAUAAAUAAAAGAUUUCCUUGUCAUAGGUCCCUCUCGUCUCUGUUCUGCACUCCCAUAUUAG